GGCGAACGCUGGCGGCGUGCUUAACACAUGCAAGUCGAACGGAAAGGCCUGCUUUCCCUUGUGGAUUGCGGGUGCUCGAGUGGCGAACGGGUGAGUAACACGUGAGUGAUCUGCCCCCAACUUGGGUAUAAGCCUGGGAAACUGGGUCUAAUUCCCGAUAGGACUGCAGGGUGGUGCCUGUGGUGGAAAACGAUUUUCUAGUGGUUGGGGAUGAGCUCGCGGCCCAUCAGCUUGUUGGUGGGGUAAUGGCCUACCAAGGCGGCGACGGGUAGCCGGCCUGGGAGGGUGGACGGCCACAUUGGGACUGAGAUACGGCCCAGACUCCUACGGGAGGAAGCAGUGGGGAAUAUUGCACAAUGGGCGGAAGCCUGAUGCAGCGACGCCGCGUGGGGGAUGACGGCCUUCGGGUUGUAAACUCCUUUCGACCGCGAGGAAGCCACCUGGUUGGAAGGGUGGUGACGGUAGUGGUAGAAGAAGCACCGGCUAACUACGUG
Molecule: ribosomal RNA, 494 nt
Filed under: uncultured bacterium
Lineage: Bacteria
Description: partial 16S ribosomal RNA
Rfam family: Bacterial small subunit ribosomal RNA
Source: RNAcentral